GAUGAACGCUGGCGGCGUGCCUAAUACAUGCAAGUCGAGCGAACAGAUGAGGAGCUUGCUCCUCUGACGUUAGCGGCGGACGGGUGAGUAACACGUGGAUAACCUACCUAUAAGACUGGGAUAACUUCGGGAAACCGGUGCUAAUACUGGAUAAUAUAUUGAACCGCAUGGUUCAAUAGUGAAAGACGGUUUUGCUGUCACUUAUAGAUGGAUCCGCGCCGCAUUAGCUAGUUGGUAAGGUAACGGCUUACCAAGGCAACGAUGCGUAGCCGACCUGAGAGGGUGAUCGGCCACACUGGAACUGAGACACGGUCCAGACUCCUACGGGAGGCAGCAGUAGGGAAUCUUCCGCAAUGGGCGAAAGCCUGACGGAGCAACGCCGCGUGAGUGAUGAAGGUCUUCGGAUCGUAAAACUCUGUUAUUAGGGAAGAACAAAUGUGUAAGUAACUAUGCACGUCUUGACGGUACCUAAUCAGAAAGCCACGGCUAACUACGUG
This 497-nucleotide ribosomal RNA is filed under the name uncultured bacterium. RNAcentral describes it as "partial 16S ribosomal RNA". It matches the Rfam family "Bacterial small subunit ribosomal RNA", at positions 28 to 507 of the family's 1533-position model. The record is from RNAcentral.